RNAcentral lists this ribosomal RNA (208 nucleotides) under uncultured bacterium. Its description in RNAcentral is "partial 16S ribosomal RNA". It matches the Rfam family "Bacterial small subunit ribosomal RNA", at positions 1293 to 1500 of the family's 1533-position model. The record is from RNAcentral.
UCGGAUUGUAGUCUGNAACCCGACUACAUGAAGCUGGAAUCGCUAGUAAUCGCAGGUCAGCAUACUGCGGUGAAUACGUUCCCGGGUCUUGUACACACCGCCCGUCACACCAUGGGAGCCGGAAAUGCCCGAAGCCAGUGACCCAACCUUAGGGAGGGAGCUGUCGAAGGUGGAGCCGGUAACUGGGGUGAAGUCGUAACAAGGUAUC